Long non-coding RNA from Biomphalaria glabrata, 2247 nucleotides. RefSeq lists it as uncharacterized. The transcript is spliced from 3 exons. The record is from RefSeq and is a predicted model, not a curated record. NCBI's taxonomy places the organism in Eukaryota, Metazoa, Mollusca, Gastropoda, Planorbidae.
UGCCUCGCCUACACCCCAUACAUUAAAUAAUAUUUCCCAUUCCAUGCCAUGCCCAGACCCAUGAGUUCAUGAAAUAAUAAAUGAUGUGGUGUCAAGUUGGAUCUAUCCCCUGAAAUUCAGCACUUUAAUAUAAAACUCACAUAUCUAGUUAAUUAUUUGCUAUGACACUCUGAUCAACUUGGACUUGUGUGAUACAUUAUAUAUGUUUCUUAUCAGAUUUAAUGAAUGAAGUUUUGGUUCAUUUUAAGGCUACAAAAGUAUCAUCAGGUGCAUUCUAACCAUUGGUAUUUUUCCUGGCAACAUUUCUAUUCUAGUCUGUGAUAAAUUAUAAAUUUAAAAAAAUGUUUGUAAUGUUUCAGUUAUUAACAAGUAGAACCAUGCCAACCAGUUCUGAUGAUGUACCAGAAUGGCUCAAGGAUCAUACUUAUAGUACUUAUACUAUUUCUACUCUCUGGGCAGACAUUAAUAAUAUUGGCAUCCAUUCAAUAUUUAUUUUAUGUUUGGAAAUGCAAGAAAAAGGCAUGCAUUCCUGACAAGUCAAUGAUUGGUUGCACCUCUUAAAGAUAACUUUCUGUUAUGAGAAAAGAUGAGAUUCUUGGACUCCUGCAUAGCACCACCAGAAAGGAAAAUCCCAUCAUGUUGCAAAAUAAAAGUCUUGGACCAAUUUUAAUUUAAGAUAUAUAUAUUAUGCUGUAAGCUCUAUACAUAUUUAUGUAUAUCCUGUCAUUCAGCCAACAGGUUUGGAUUUAGUAUUUCUUUAAAUCUGUUUGAUAUUGUACUUGAAAACUAUUAAUCUGAGCCCCAUUAAAACAAUAGGGAGUGCAGUGAAUGAGUGGUAAAGCACUUGGCUUCUGAACUGAGGGUUCCUGGGUUCGAUUAAGACUGGGAUUUUCAAUUUCAGAAUUCAAAAGGCUAGGGAUACAUGGCAAUAGUAAGGAAUAAGUAAAGGCAGUUUGGGGAUCCAUGGCUGAAUGGUUAAGUCAUGGGUUUGAAUCUCUGUGAAGACUCAGAUUUAAAUUUUUUAGAUUUUUGGGUGCCCCUGAGUCCACCUAACUCUAAUGGGUAGCUGACUUUUGUUUUGGAAAGUAAAGAUGGUUGGUUGUUGUGCUGGGUACAUGACACCCUCGCUAACCAUGGGGCACAGAAACUGAUAAACUUUAUAUCAUCUGCCCCAUAGAUUGCAAGAUAUGUAAGGGAAAUUUUACUUUUUUAAAAUUAAAAUAAGAAUCUAUCAAAAGUAAACAUAUAAAAUAUGGUGCAUUCUCCUUAAAACUAAAACCUGGUGCGAAGGUUUAAAAUGUUGGCAAAAAAAAGCAACAUCAUAUAUUCUUAAUUCCCUUUGCAAAACUUACUGAGAAGAACAUGCAUGUUGUUGCCUCAUAAGUUUCUUGACAGAGGAAAUCUUGUUUAUAUUAGAUUUGAAUUAAGCAAAUUAAGAAAAAAAUUAUAAUUAUUUUUUCAAAUGGUUGUAUCUAAACCUUAUGAAUUAUUUUUCAGUUAUAAGUAUAUUGAGAUUAAUGGAUAAUCAUGAAUUGUUAAAUAAUUGCUGCUAUCAUUCCAUUGACUAAAGAACCAUAAUUAUUUUUUUUUAAAUUAAUUUCAAAAUGAUUUUUUUCAAGCAUAGAGUUCACAUAGAUCUUGAGUGAAAGUUUUUUUUUUAUUUGACUAAUGCUUUAAUUUUAUUGUAUCAUAUUAGUUGUUAAUUUUUAUUACCCAGAAUAUUUAAAAAAUGAGUACACUAUUUUCAUGUAAUAAUGUGUUACUUGGUAUUCACACAAUGCUAAAAAUACACUAUAAUCUUUAGGCCAUACAGAUUUGUAUAAAUUAACUUGUUUAAAUACAUUGUAAAUGUAUAUUGUUUGGAUAAGAAUAAAGUUUUUCUGUAGACAAUUAUUGUUCAAGAUUUGUUGAUGCUCCUGCUUAAUCAAUUAUAUAUACAGGUCAUUAGUUUUAACACGUCUGAUAAUAAAUGACAGUACAAGUUAGUGAAUGAAAAUUUGUCAUUAUUUCAGCUGCUUUAGGCCUACAUCAAUGUGAGGUACCAGUACUUUGAUUGUGUCAUAUAUCAAUUUAAAGCAACAUUUUGAAAUGAAUAGUCUGUAGAAUUGACAGUAAAUACAUUUAAGUGAUGGGCUGUGAUCUGCGUGAAUUGAGAGCUGAUCAUGUAUUGAAUUUGUGUUUUUGAUCUUUACUUCAAGUAAAUGUUAAUGAGCAAUUAAUUUUCAAUGAAUAAUUAAUUUAAAAAUA